GUUGAGAACAUUCAGGUUUUUGGAACUAGAGGAGAUAUCUGAAGCUGAUAAUUAUAAUGAGGUAUCCAAGCCAAAUGACCAUUACACUCAGCCAAGAUCAGAAUUACUAGUUGAAUCUCUAAUGACAUUGGUUGAAACUUUACCUAAAAAGGAAGAGGUAACAAUAGAAAAUUCAGAAAUACUUUCUCAGUAUAUCGAGUACAUAGAUCUAGAUCCCUUAG
RNAcentral lists this long non-coding RNA (221 nucleotides) under Elaeis guineensis (African oil palm). RNAcentral describes it as "long non-coding RNA (EGUI_LNC014082)". The record is from RNAcentral. Lineage: Eukaryota; Viridiplantae; Streptophyta; Magnoliopsida; Arecales; Arecaceae.